CACAACCCUCUCCCACACCCCUACCGAUCUAGGGUUACGCGAGGCCGACGGGAAGCGCCACCACGUCGCUCCCCUCCGCUACUUCCGUCGCCGGCCAGACCCGGUGGAGGCCAGAGGGUUUCCGCUUCCCUCGCCGACCACCGUCGCCGCCAGACCCGCGCCUCGACGACCCGGAGCUUCUCUGCGCCAUCGGCGCCAUGGGGAAAGUCAAGCGGACCCGUACCCAGUAGUAGAUUUCCUUGAAUGAGGAUUCUCGAGCAACAACGCAUAUGACGACCGGCGAUUACUAGCGAUUCCUGCUUCAUGCAGGCGAGUUGCAUCCUGCAAUCCGAACUGAGGACGGAUUUUUGGAGUUACAAUAUUAUAAUCUUGUCUAGAAAUUUUAUGCAUUUUUUCUAUCUCUGCCCAAAGGUGAUUUAGACUUAAUGCAUAUUUUGAAUUUUGAAUAUAGAAUUUCGACUUGAACGCAGAAUUUUGGGCAUUAUGAUAUUGUAAUUUCUAACCAAAGUUGAUGUUACAAUAUUAUAAUCUUGCCUAGAAAUUUUUAUG
Molecule: long non-coding RNA, 549 nt
Organism: Panicum virgatum (switchgrass)
Lineage: Eukaryota; Viridiplantae; Streptophyta; Magnoliopsida; Poales; Poaceae
Exons: 2
Source: RefSeq, a predicted model, not a curated record